RNAcentral lists this ribosomal RNA (387 nucleotides) under uncultured bacterium. Its description in RNAcentral is "bacterial SSU rRNA". It matches the Rfam family "Bacterial small subunit ribosomal RNA", at positions 30 to 420 of the family's 1533-position model. The record is from RNAcentral.
AUUGAACGCUGGCGGCAUGCUUUACACAUGCAAGUCGAACGGGGUGAGGGGGCAACCUCUCAUCUAGUGGCGAACGGGUGAGUAAUGCAUCGGAACGUGUCCCGUAGUGGGGGAUAACCCGGCGAAAGCCGGACUAAUACCGCAUAUGCUCUACGGAGGAAAGUGGGGGACCUGUAAGGGCCUCACGCUAUGGGAGCGGCCGAUGUCCGAUUAGCUUGUUGGUGAGGUAAUGGCUCACCAAGGCGACGAUCGGUAGCUGGUCUGAGAGGAUGAUCAGCCACACUGGGACUGAGACACGGCCCAGACUCCUACGGGAGGCAGCAGUGGGAAUUUUGGACAAUGGGGCAACCUGAUCCAGCCAUGCCGCGUGCGGGAAGGAGGCCUGGU